AGAGCCUCCCCAUGGGAUGUUAUUACCAGGUGUUGAAACUGCAACACAUCAGCCAGCGGUUAACCAGGAAAACAUAUCUAGAUAGCAAAGGAGAUUUAAUGCAGGAAAUUGGUUCCCCAGGGGAUGGAGAGGCUCAGGAAUCAACCAGGGACAAUGCAAGUCCAGGAGCGGUGAGAAGACCCUCCAUCCCUGGGCUGAGAGAGAGAAGGAGGUGAUGCAAACAUGGAAAGUGAUGACAAUCACAAAUGCCAAGAAAACAAGCAAAUAUCAAGGUGUAAGUUAUUGGCGCUGCUACAGCAUCUGGAAGACAAUCCACAUGUGCUGCCAGAAGCCCCAAACGACGCCUGCCGAGCUUGCUGGAAUCCAGCACAGCUCCGAGAAUCACGUUCCCUGAUUCUUCCAGUGGUUCGUAAGCCUGGAUGCCCUGGGUCAGGUCCUCCCCUGCUUGGGAUGCUGGAACAAUUCCACUUCCCACCCACCCCGCCUGGUGCAAUGGGACAGCGCAGAGAGCCCUUGUGCUGCCCUCCAGCCCUGUGCCGCCCCGAAGGGGCGUCCGAUCCCGGGGAGGCUCUCGGGGCAGUGGGUGGUGCCCAGGCCGGCCCCCCCUGGGAAGGGGAGUUUACUGGAAGGAGGCAGAGUCCCUUGGGACCCUGGAUGUUCUCCGACAAGUGGUCCUUUCUCAGGCUCCAGUUGUCCCCACGUGGAGGAGGGGGCAGGAAGAAGAAGCGAUUGGAUUGAGGGAUUCCCUGUUUGACAGAAUGGUUUAGGAAAUAAAUACACUCCAGUCCUGCAGAGCUGAACCAGGCCUUACCGGAAUAUCUCCCAGGGAAUUUCCACCCACUCCGGCACCUGUCCCUGCCAGCCAGGAAAUGCCCCCCGCGGACUUAUCUCCUCGCAGUGAGUGUGGGUGACUGCUGUCCAGACCCCCCAAUGUUUGCGGUCUCUCUUCCUGAGUCGGUUUCCCUCGGAGACUGCCUAGGUGUCUCCACCGCUGUUUGCUUUGAGCCUGCGAACAGGGUAUUUAAAAAUAGCCUUAUCUGAAAGCUUCAGUGUGCCUGAGCGGUUCCCAUCAGAUAGGCCCAUGGUUGUACUUGACCUGUGUGUCCUGGCAGGGCCACACUACUGUCCUCCUCCAGUCUCUUCUUCUCAACUGCAGACUCGGGGCUCUGACAGAGAGCAUUAGGAAGCGGGAGAUGCUCUGCUCUUGCCAAGAAGCCAAAGAGAAUGCUGUCAACAGAGCGUAAAAACCCCUUUCUAAAUAAGACGGGUGAGAUCUGCAGGGGCCGGGGCAGUCUCAGUCUUGACUGAUGUCACCAGUGCAUGAGGUACACACUUACUGAGGCCACCAGGCAGCUAAUGUAGCAUCAGGCUGUGUCUCGGAAGGAAGAAGCUGCACCAUCCCCGAAAUGUCACUUCUGCUGUCCCCAUUCUCUGAUCAUCACCUUCUGUUCAGCUUUUCCCCACCAGCCCUGUCACUCAGCGAGUCCCAGAUGGCACCGAGACCGCCAACCAUGGACCCCACCGCUCUAGCACUGCUGUCACCCCCGCCCCCGUGUCCCCA
Non-coding RNA from Delphinapterus leucas (beluga whale), 1561 nucleotides. NCBI's taxonomy places the organism in Eukaryota, Metazoa, Chordata, Mammalia, Artiodactyla, Monodontidae. The record is from RefSeq and is a predicted model, not a curated record.